RNAcentral lists this ribosomal RNA (301 nucleotides) under uncultured bacterium. RNAcentral describes it as "partial 16S ribosomal RNA". It matches the Rfam family "Bacterial small subunit ribosomal RNA", at positions 509 to 807 of the family's 1533-position model. The record is from RNAcentral.
CAGUCGCCACGGUAAUACGAAGGGUGCAAGCGUUACUCGGAAUUACUGGGCGUAAAGCGUGCGUAGGUGGUGGUUUAAGUCCGUUGUGAAAGCCCUGGGCUCAACCUGGGAAUUGCAGUGGAUACUGGAUCACUAGGGUGUGGUAGAGGAUAGUGGAAUUUCCGGUGUAGCAGUGAAAUGCGUAGAGAUCGGAAGGAACAUCAGUGGCGAAGGCGACUAUCUGGGCCAACACUGACACUGAGGCACGAAAGCGUGGGGAGCAAACAGGAUUAGAUACCCCUGUAGUCCCUGUCUCUUAUAC